Molecule: long non-coding RNA, 1580 nt
Filed under: Nicotiana tabacum (common tobacco)
Lineage: Eukaryota; Viridiplantae; Streptophyta; Magnoliopsida; Solanales; Solanaceae
Description: long non-coding RNA (NTAB_LNC012362)
Source: RNAcentral
ACAGAUUCAAGGAGUAUUAAUAAUAAGAAAAGAGAUUAACACUGAAAUUACAUAAAAUUCAUCUUAAAAUUACUAAUAACGUACAUAAAAAUAUUUAAAUUAUUAUUAGUUGUAUAAUGAUUACGAAGAUGAAAAAUUAUAUAGAUGAAAUACACUUCCUGAUUAGCAACAAAAAAAUCAUUAGGGAGAGUACAUCCUCUUGCCACUGCUUGCAUCACAAAUUUUAAAACUUGUGUAUUGAAGUAUUGUUUUUGGAGGGUACAUACCUUGUAUAUGAAAUAAACAAAACAAAUACCAUUUUGUAUUUUUUUUAUGUCAGUCAAUGAGUUUUGACCAAAAAAAAAAGAAAAGGUAUAGUAAUAUCACACUCAAUAGAAGAACAAUAAAACAUGUAUGAAAUAUUAAAACAACAAAUAUCAUUUAAAUUAAUGCAUCUAUAUGCAUUACAUUCACAAAAAUAAAUUAUGUUUAUAUUGUCUCAUUUUCAUGUAUUCCUACAAACAUUGUAGAUACUUCUCCCGUGUAAACAAAUCACAUGUAUAAAUGAGUUUCGAAGUAGGUGUGGUAGGAAAAGUAGGAUAAAUUUUGAAUGAAACAACUGGAAAAGACAUUAAAUGAAGGCAGAGAAAAGAGUGAAUGGCCUUUUCUUUAACCUUCUUACCGAGUUGUUUCAACCCCUCAAUAGUCGCAUCACAUUACCCCAUCUUCGUAUAUGAUUGUUCACCCUGCCAUAACAUGAUCCGUCCUUCUAGCCUAAUGUAGACUUCGUAUUUGCAUCACGAAAGCAAAGCACUCUAUUCCUUAUGGGCUUUGAAAGUACCUUUGUGACUUUUGUUGUUUCACUUAGGAUACAUCAUCCUCUAAAAGAAAUUUAUUGCAGGUGUUGAGAAACAGCAAAUAGCCCUCUCGAAAACAUCUUCUGGAUUCGGUCAAUGGUUAGUCCAUCAACUGCCUACGCUGUUAUUUUACGGCGGAUUCAAAACCAUAAAGAAGAGAUGAUUUAUUUUGACCAGUCAAAAAAGUUCAAAGUUGGAAAUUUUGAUACAAAUAUAGAGAAAAAAAAAAUGGAUACAAGAAUACCUAUCGAAUGAACGAUGAAAAGGAAAAUAAUAUCAAACCUGCAUCGAUCUCCUAAUUCGCUAAAUUAUCAUGAAUUUAUCAAAGAAUUUUUCAGAGUCAUAGAAUGUGAGAAAAAUGACUCAAAGGAAUCCCUUUUAGAUCUCUUGACAAAGGAAAAAGGAAUGACAAAUAAAGUUAUUAAAAUACUCGAAAGCCACAACAAAAAUUAAACUACAUAAUCACAUGAAAGGAGAUUUUACCUGUCGGAAAGGAUGAGAGUGAAAGAGAUGGAAAAGUAAGAGAAAAGAGGGAGGCAUUUUUUUUCCAGUCAACAGAGGCAACUGUGAUUAGGGAGUUAGAAGAGAAGGGGCCUGUCAUUAUUAAGCAACUGUUGGGAGAAAGAAAUAAACAAACAACAGUUAGGUUUCUUAUACAAAAUAAGAGAAACGUAAAAAUAGGGGGAAAAAUGCAAAAUUGUCAAAAAAUGGAGAAAAAAGAUAAAUACAAUUGCUGGGUAUUGA